This 253-nucleotide ribosomal RNA is filed under the name uncultured bacterium. Its description in RNAcentral is "partial 16S ribosomal RNA". It matches the Rfam family "Bacterial small subunit ribosomal RNA", at positions 524 to 776 of the family's 1533-position model. The record is from RNAcentral.
UACAGAGGGUGCAAGCGUUAAUCGGAAUUACUGGGCGUAAAGCGUGCGCAGGCGGUUUUGUAAGCCAGGGGUGAAAUCCCCGGGCUCAACCUGGGAAUGGCAUUUGGGACUGCAAGGCUGGAGUGCGGCAGAGGAGACUGGAAUUCCUGGUGUAGCAGUGAAAUGCGUAGAUAUCAGGAGGAAUACCGAUGGCGAAGGCAGGUCUCUGGGCUGACACUGACGCUCAUGCACGAAAGCGUGGGGAGCAAACAGG